AACGCUAGCUACAGGCUUAACACAUGCAAGUCGAGGGGCAGCAUGGGCUUAGCUUGCUAAGCCCGAUGGCGACCGGCGCACGGGUGAGUAACACGUAUCCAACCUUCCGGUAACUCCGGUAUAGCCUUUCGAAAGAAAGAUUAAUCCCGGAUAGUAUGGUGAUUCCGCAUGGUUUCUCCAUUAAAGGAUUCCGGUUACCGAUGGGGAUGCGUUCCAUUAGGCAGUUGGCGGGGUAACGGCCCACCAAACCUACGAUGGAUAGGGGUUCUGAGAGGAAGGUCCCCCACAUUGGAACUGAGACACGGUCCAAACUCCUACGGGAGGCAGCAGUGAGGAAUAUUGGUCAAUGGGCGGAAGCCUGAACCAGCCAAGUAGCGUGAAGGAUGACUGCCCUAUGGGUUGUAAACUUCUUUUAUAAGGGAAUAAAUGUGGGUACGCGUACCCGUUUGCAUGUACCUUAUGAAUAAGGAUCGGCUAACUCCGUGCCAGCAGCCGCGGUAAUACGGAGGAUCCGAGCGUUAUCCGGAUUUAUUGGGUUUAAAGGGAGCGUAGGCGGGCGCUUAAGUCAGCUGUGAAAGUUUGGGGCUCAACCUUAAAAUUGCAGUUGAUACUGGGUGCCUUGAGUGCAGUAUAGGCAGGCGGAAUUCGUGGUGUAGCGGUGAAAUGCUUAGAUAUCACGAAGAACUCCGAUUG
Molecule: ribosomal RNA, 693 nt
Filed under: uncultured Bacteroidales bacterium
Lineage: Bacteria; Pseudomonadati; Bacteroidota; Bacteroidia; Bacteroidales
Description: bacterial SSU rRNA
Rfam family: Bacterial small subunit ribosomal RNA
Source: RNAcentral